Molecule: ribosomal RNA, 492 nt
Filed under: uncultured bacterium
Lineage: Bacteria
Description: partial 16S ribosomal RNA
Rfam family: Bacterial small subunit ribosomal RNA
Source: RNAcentral
AGUGAACGCUGGCGGUAGGCCUAACACAUGCGAGUCGAACGGCAGCACAGUAAGAGCUUGCUCUUACGGGUGGCGAGUGGCGGACGGGUGAGGAAUACAUCGGAAUCUACUUUUUCGUGGGGGAUAACGUAGGGAAACUUACGCUAAUACCGCAUACGACCUACGGGUGAAAGCAGGGGAUCUUCGGACCUUGCGCGAUUGAAUGAGCCGAUGUCGGAUUAGCUAGUUGGCGGGGUAAAGGCCCACCAAGGCGACGAUCCGUAGCUGGUCUGAGAGGAUGAUCAGCCACACUAGAACUGAGACACGGUCCAGGCUCCUACGGGAGGCAGCAGUGGGGCAUAUUGGACAAUGGGCGCAAGCCUGAUCCAGCCAUACCGCGUGGGUGAAGAAGGCCUUCGGGUUGUAAAGCCCUUUUGUUGGGAAAGAAAAGCAGCAGGUUAAUACCCCGCUGUUCUGACGGUACCCAAAGAAUAAGCACCGGCUAACUUCGUG